RNAcentral lists this ribosomal RNA (254 nucleotides) under uncultured bacterium. Its description in RNAcentral is "partial 16S ribosomal RNA". It matches the Rfam family "Bacterial small subunit ribosomal RNA", at positions 524 to 776 of the family's 1533-position model. The record is from RNAcentral.
UACGGGGGGGGGCAAGCGUUGUUCGGAAUUACUGGGCGUAAAGCGCACGUAGGCGGAUCGAUCAGUCAGGGGUGAAAUCCCAGGGCUCAACCCUGGAACUGCCUUUGAUACUGUCGAUCUGGAGUAUGGAAGAGGUGAGUGGAAUUCCGAGUGUAGAGGUGAAAUUCGUAGAUAUUCGGAGGAACACCAGUGGCGAAGGCGGCUCACUGGUCCAUUACUGACGCUGAGGUGCGAAAGCGUGGGGAGCAAACAGG